Molecule: ribosomal RNA, 497 nt
Filed under: uncultured bacterium
Lineage: Bacteria
Description: partial 16S ribosomal RNA
Rfam family: Bacterial small subunit ribosomal RNA
Source: RNAcentral
GAUGAACGCUGGCGGCGUGCCUAAUACAUGCAAGUCGAGCGAACGGACGAGAAGCUUGCUUUUCUGAUGUUAGCGGCGGACGGGUGAGUAACACGUGGAUAACCUACCUAUAAGACUGGGAUAACUUCGGGAAACCGGAGCUAAUACCGGAUAAUAUUUUGAACCGCAUGGUUCAACAGUGAAAGACGGUCUUGCUGUCACUUAUAGAUGGAUCCGCGCUGCAUUAGCUAGUUGGUAAGGUAACGGCUUACCAAGGCAACGAUGCAUAGCCGACCUGAGAGGGUGAUCGGCCACACUGGAACGGAGACACGGUCCAGACUCCUACGGGAGGCAGCAGUAGGGAAUCUUCCGCAAUGGGCGAAAGCCUGACGGAGCAACGCCGCGUGAGUGAUGAAGGUCUUCGGAUCGUAAAACUCUGUUAUUAGGGAAGAACAUAUGUGUAAGUAACUGUGCACAUCUUGACGGUACCUAAUCAGAAAGCAACGGCUAACUACGUG